This 224-nucleotide non-coding RNA is filed under the name Exiguobacterium artemiae. RNAcentral's name for it is "Exiguobacterium sibiricum T-box sequence". It matches the Rfam family "T-box leader". Rfam says of the family: Uncharged tRNA acts as the effector for transcription antitermination of genes in the T-box leader family. T-boxes are found upstream of many aminoacyl-tRNA synthetase genes and some amino acid biosynthetic genes usually in Gram-positive bacteria. Lineage: Bacteria; Bacillati; Bacillota; Bacilli; Caryophanales. The record is from RNAcentral.
UAAGAACCGAUGACGAAGAAGAGUAAUUUAGAUCUCGGCUGCAUAGAGAGUCGCUCCCCGGCUGAAAGGGCGAUCAGACGAACUAGAUGAAAGACCCUUUUGAGGUAUUUUCCUGAAACGAACAGAGUAGGGGAAAUCGUAGGCAGGCGUUAACUGCACCGAGUGGCUGAGAUUUUUCAGCAACCAGGGUGGUACCACGGGAUCUUUAAGUUCUCGUCCCUUUG